CCUACGGGAGGCAGCAGUGAGGAAUAUUGGUCAAUGGGCGCGAGCCUGAACCAGCCAAGUCGCGUGAGGGAAGACGGCCCUACGGGUUGUAAACCUCUUUUGCCGGGGAGCAACGGGCGCCACGUGUGGCGCCACUGAGAGUACCCGGAGAAAAAGCAUCGGCUAACUCCGUGCCAGCAACCGCGGUAAUACGGAGGAUGCGAGCGUUAUCCGGAUUCAUUGGGUUUAAAGGGUGCGCAGGCGGGCCUUUAAGCCGGCGGUGAAAUCGCGGGGCUCAACCCCGCCGAGCCGUCGGAACUGGGGGCCUUGAGUGCGGCGGAGGCAUGCGGAAUGCGCGGUGUAGCGGUGAAAUGCAUAGAUAUCGCGCAGAACCCCGAUUGCGAAGGCAGCGUGCCGUGCCGCCACUGACGCUGAGGCACGAAAGCGCGGGGAUCGAACAGGAUUAGAUACCCCGGUAGUC
This 460-nucleotide ribosomal RNA is filed under the name uncultured bacterium. Its description in RNAcentral is "partial 16S ribosomal RNA". It matches the Rfam family "Bacterial small subunit ribosomal RNA", at positions 338 to 795 of the family's 1533-position model. The record is from RNAcentral.